RNAcentral lists this ribosomal RNA (431 nucleotides) under uncultured Pelagibacteraceae bacterium. Its description in RNAcentral is "bacterial SSU rRNA". It matches the Rfam family "Bacterial small subunit ribosomal RNA", at positions 29 to 505 of the family's 1533-position model. Lineage: Bacteria; Pseudomonadati; Pseudomonadota; Alphaproteobacteria; Candidatus Pelagibacterales; Candidatus Pelagibacteraceae. The record is from RNAcentral.
AACGUACGCUGGCGGCACGCCUAACACAUGCAAGUCGAACGCAGUAGCAAUACUGAGUGGCAAACGGGUGAGUAUAAUGUGGGAAUCUGCCUUUUGGUUUGGAAUAACACGAGGAAACUUGUGCUAAUACCGAAUAAGCCUUUACAGGGAAAGUUUUAACGCCGAAAGAUGAGCCCGCACUUGAUUAGCUAGUUGGUAAGGUAAAAGCUUACCAAGGCAAUGAUCAAUAGCUGUUCUUAGAGGAAGACCAGCCACAUUGGGACUGAGACACGGCCCAGACUCCUACGGGAGGCAGCAGUGGGGAAUCUUGCACAAUGGGGGAAACCCUGAUGCAGCGAUGCCGCGUGAGUGAAGAAGGCCUUUGGGUUGUAAAACUCUUUCGUCGGGGAAGAAAAUGACUGUACCCGAAUAAGAAGGUCCGGCUAACUUCG